UGGGGAAUAUUGGACAAUGGGCGAAAGCCUGAUCCAGCCAUGCCGCGUGUGUGAAGAAGGUCUUCGGAUUGUAAAGCACUUUAAGUUGGGAGGAAGGGCAUUAACCUAAUACGUUAGUGUUUUGACGUUACCGACAGAAUAAGCACCGGCUAACUCUGUGCCAGCAGCCGCGGUAAUACAGAGGGUGCAAGCGUUAAUCGGAAUUACUGGGCGAAAAGCGCGCGUAGGUGGUUUGUUAAGUUGGAUGUGAAAUCCCCGGGCUCAACCUGGGAACUGCAUUCAAAACUGACUGACUAGAGUAUGGUAGAGGGUGGUGGAAUUUCCUGUGUAGCGUUGAAAUGCGUAGAUAUAGGAAGGAACACCAGUGGCGAUGGCGACCACCUGGACUAAUACUGACACUGAGGUGCUAAAGCGUGGGGAGCAAACA
RNAcentral lists this ribosomal RNA (427 nucleotides) under uncultured bacterium. RNAcentral's name for it is "partial 16S ribosomal RNA". It matches the Rfam family "Bacterial small subunit ribosomal RNA", at positions 355 to 774 of the family's 1533-position model. The record is from RNAcentral.